Molecule: unclassified non-coding RNA, 304 nt
Filed under: plant metagenome
Description: partial contains 5.8S ribosomal RNA, internal transcribed spacer 2, and large subunit ribosomal RNA
Rfam family: 5.8S ribosomal RNA (bases 1-105)
Source: RNAcentral
GAAAUGCGAUAAGUAAUGUGAAUUGCAGAAUUCCGUGAAUCAUCGAAUCUUUGAACGCACAUUGCGCCCCCUGGCAUUCCGGGGGGCAUGCCUGUCCGAGCGUCAUUUCUUCCCUCAAGCACGGCUUGUGUGUUGGGUGUGGUCCCCCCGGGGACCUGCCCGAAAGGCAGCGGCGACGUCCGUCUGGUCCUCGAGCGUAUGGGGCUCUGUCACUCGCUCGGGAAGGACCUGCGGGGGUUGGUCACCACCAUAUUUCACCACGGUUGACCUCGGAUCAGGUAGGAGUUACCCGCUGAACUUAAGC